UUUGCUAGCUAGCAGUAAAGGAUGUUUCAAACAAUUUUAUCUGGACAACAAUUUAAGCAAAACACGCUGCACAAAAAUUUAAAAACCUACCGUAUAAAUCUUAGGAAUAGCAUUACAACACCCCAAUAGUCUCACAUCAAUGACAAAAUGAUUUUUAUUAGAAUAUAUGAGAUCUACACACUAAUAAUAAUAAUUGGGUCUAAGAAUUUAGUUAUUAUUGCUAGCGGAUUAGAUCGUUACAAUUGGAAUCAAUCAAAUAUCAGCCAGAAGUGUGUAAGAGCUAAGUGCUAUUCGGGGCAAAGUGCUACCGGCAUGUAUAUCUGUGAUCUAGGAACUAAGUGCUAUACAGCGCAAAGUGCUACUGAUCCGCUAUCUGUGAUCUGGGCAUACGGGUUUGGACCUUGACAAGGACAUCAGGAUCUAAAAAAGGUUUGGACCUUGACG
Molecule: long non-coding RNA, 444 nt
Filed under: Ananas comosus (pineapple)
Lineage: Eukaryota; Viridiplantae; Streptophyta; Magnoliopsida; Poales; Bromeliaceae
Description: long non-coding RNA (ACOM_LNC004218)
Source: RNAcentral